RNAcentral lists this long non-coding RNA (365 nucleotides) under Athene cunicularia (burrowing owl). RNAcentral describes it as "lncRNA (ENSACUG00000013459.1)". The record is from RNAcentral. Lineage: Eukaryota; Metazoa; Chordata; Aves; Strigiformes; Strigidae.
ACUGCUGGCCAAAAUGGGGUGCCGGAGGCGGCGAGGGGUGUGCCGGGGUGCGUGCCGAGGGGUUUAGCUCCCCGCCGGGCGCCUGCGCGGCUCCUCUCCCCGGCAAAGCAUGGCCCAGCAGGAGACCUAUGGCAACUGGUUGGGUCCCCCACCAGCCCCCAGCAAGCGGCUGGUGAGACAAGCAGGAAUUUACUCCGUUGCUGGGAAAAUGACACCUAUGGGUGACUUCAGACCGGCAUCUCCAGACAGCUUCGAGGAUGAUUAUGAUGACGUGUCCCUGUCGGAGUCGGAUCGUGGCCACAAGCCGACAGCGACCCUUGGAGAUCUGCAGAGCCAGAGGAGCAAAGGAGGCACAGGUAGCGCCC